RNAcentral lists this ribosomal RNA (631 nucleotides) under uncultured bacterium. Its description in RNAcentral is "bacterial SSU rRNA". The stretch from base 1 to 542 matches the Rfam family "Bacterial small subunit ribosomal RNA", at positions 338 to 873 of the family's 1533-position model. The record is from RNAcentral.
CCUACGGGAGGCAGCAGUGGGGAAUUUUGGACAAUGGGCGCAAGCCUGAUCCAGCAAUGCCGCGUGCAGGAUGAAGGCCUUCGGGUUGUAAACUGCUUUUGUACGGAACGAAACGGCUCUUUCUAAUAAAGAGAGCUAAUGACGGUACCGUAAGAAUAAGCACCGGCUAACUACGUGCCAGCAGCCGCGGUAAUACGUAGGGUGCGAGCGUUAAUCGGAAUUACUGGGCGUAAAGCGUGCGCAGGCGGUUAUAUAAGACAGAUGUGAAAUCCCCGGGCUCAACCUGGGACCUGCAUUUGUGACUGUAUAGCUAGAGUACGGUAGAGGGGGAUGGAAUUCCGCGUGUAGCAGUGAAAUGCGUAGAUAUGCGGAGGAACACCGAUGGCGAAGGCAAUCCCCUGGACCUGUACUGACGCUCGUGCACGAAAGCGUGGGGAGCAAACAGGAUUAGAUACCCUGGUAGUCCACGCCCUAAACGAUGUCAACUGGUUGUUGGGUCUUCACUGACUCAGUAACGAAGCUAACGCGUGAAGUUGACCGCCGUCGGGAGGUACGGCCGGCGACGGUUAGUAACGUAACGAAAGUAAGUAGACGNGAGAGAGACGACGACGACGACGACGGAGGGAGGAGG